RNAcentral lists this transfer RNA (71 nucleotides) under Loxodonta africana (African savanna elephant). It matches the Rfam family "tRNA". From Rfam's summary of the family: Transfer RNA (tRNA) molecules are approximately 80 nucleotides in length. Their secondary structure includes four short double-helical elements and three loops (D, anti-codon, and T loops). Lineage: Eukaryota; Metazoa; Chordata; Mammalia; Proboscidea; Elephantidae. The record is from Rfam by way of RNAcentral.
GCAUUGGUGAUUCAGUGGUAGAAUUCUCACCUUCCAUUUUGGAGAUGCAGGUUUGAUUCCUGGCCAGUGCA